RNAcentral lists this long non-coding RNA (255 nucleotides) under Elaeis guineensis (African oil palm). Its description in RNAcentral is "long non-coding RNA (EGUI_LNC047261)". The record is from RNAcentral. Lineage: Eukaryota; Viridiplantae; Streptophyta; Magnoliopsida; Arecales; Arecaceae.
AAAAAAUUUCAAACCGAACUCAAGGAGGGGUGUGGCCUGACCCAACCUAGCCCAUUUCUAGUCCUAUUCGCAAGCCGCUCGAUACUUUGGAAUCUUUAGGAUAGGAUUUGCCUGGAUGCCAUGCGGUGUGUGAUAAGUGCAUAGAUAUGCCAUAAGAAGUAUUAAAAUUCUUGAUAUUUAGUUUCCAUUACUUUGAAUUUGAUACUUUUUAUGUAUGUUUUUAUAAGAAUUAUUAAUCAUAAAAAAUUAUUCACA